Long non-coding RNA from Sinocyclocheilus anshuiensis, 89 nucleotides. RefSeq lists it as uncharacterized. NCBI's taxonomy places the organism in Eukaryota, Metazoa, Chordata, Actinopteri, Cypriniformes, Cyprinidae. The record is from RefSeq and is a predicted model, not a curated record. The transcript has 3 exons.
UUAAAUCAAGUAACAGGGGACCCUGCUACACCCUUUCCAACCAUACAACUGAUGGAUACUGACUGGAAAAUGGCAAUCAUAGGAGGAGG